This 22-nucleotide transfer RNA is filed under the name Aneides flavipunctatus (black salamander). RNAcentral's name for it is "partial tRNA-Ser". Lineage: Eukaryota; Metazoa; Chordata; Amphibia; Caudata; Plethodontidae. The record is from RNAcentral.
GAAAAGAGUUAGAAAUACAGAA